AACAUUUGGUCUCAAAAUCAAAGAUAUGAAAAUCAUUUUCGUUCUUUUGCUCAUUUUCUCAAUUGACUUUGGUAUGAGUUUUGAUACUUGGAUUUAUUUUAUCUCAAAUUUCACGAGUUUUUGUUUCUUUAAUCACUUAUGUUUAUGGUAGAAUGAAUUUUUUAUUUUGUGCAGGAAAUCAAGUGCAAUUGCCGGAGGCAAAACAAUGUUAUUAUGUUGUACCUGGUUUUUGUAAGACAUUUAGGAAAUUUUUUUGCAAAGUAGAGUGCCUCGGUGUUUGCAAAUCAUUUUCUGCGCAUGGAGAAUGUCGUGACGACGGAGGUUGCCACUGUAUUUGUUGUUGAUUAAAUUAUUAUAUACAAUGGAACAUUCAUCGUGUGAAAUUAAUAAAUAUGAGAUAUAUUAAUAAAGUGUGGUUGCAUUGCAUAUUUCUCCUUUUCUCAAUUUUUUAGUAGUUGAAGAGUGUAUGUCUUUUUUGGUUAACGUUCCUUUGUAGGAUAAUAUGUGUGAUGUUUGGUCUUGGAAUAAUGCUCAUGGUAGUUCUUAUUCGGUCAAAGAAAGCUUAUAUGUUGUUGUGAAUUGAUGAUGGCGGUGAUAUCGCCAAAAAUUAUGAAAUUGCGUGGAAUAAAAUUGUCUCAGUGAAGCUCUCUUUGUUUGUUUGGCGCUUUUUGAAUAACAAGUUUCCAACAAAGGAGACACUUAAGCGUGAUAUUUUAAACGUUGAUUCUCAAUUUUGUG
This 738-nucleotide long non-coding RNA is filed under the name Medicago truncatula (barrel medic). Its description in RNAcentral is "long non-coding RNA (MTRU_LNC007904)". The record is from RNAcentral. Lineage: Eukaryota; Viridiplantae; Streptophyta; Magnoliopsida; Fabales; Fabaceae.